Molecule: ribosomal RNA, 226 nt
Filed under: uncultured marine eukaryote
Lineage: Eukaryota
Description: partial 18S ribosomal RNA
Rfam family: Eukaryotic small subunit ribosomal RNA
Source: RNAcentral
UUAAAAAGCUCGUAGUUGGAUUUCUGUCGAGGACGGUCGGUCCACACUUUGUGUGAGUAUCUGAUUCGGCCUGGCAUCCUCCUGGGGUACGUUUCUGCGCUGAUUGCGUGGAGCGGAAUUCAGGACUUUUACUUUGAGGAAAUUAGAGUGUUCACGGCAGGCAAACGCCUUGAAUAUAUUAGCAUGGAAUAAUAAUAUAGGACCCUUGUUCUAUUUUGUUGGUUUC